AAAAAAUCAAACACUUUAAAGUAUAAACAGAUGAUAAUAUACAAAACCUUUAUUUUCGAUUUCGAUUUUUACCCCUGAAAAUAUAUUUAAAGCGCAGCAAAGAAUCGUCCUGCUCUUCAUUAUUUUAUAUCAAUUAAGACAUUCGUCACAACUCGGCCGAUUCCGUACGGAUUUUACCGAGGAUUGCCGAAUGCAAUUAAGCAAGACGGUAAAAAUGUGCAACCGAUGCCUUUAAUGUAUGAUAUCACGUGACUAUUGUGACGAGAGUGUAUGGUAAGACGUAUCGUUUCACAUGCAUUUGUCAUCGUCUUAGAAGAAAUGAUUGCUCCUUUAAUUUGCUUUCAGGAAAUAAAAAUCAACCGUAUCGUGUCUUUGCUGUUACAACACAAUACAAUAACAGUCAAUUAAAAUGUAGAACUGUGAUUUCAAACAAUAAAUGAAUUUUACUGUACAUCCCUUUAUACUCCCAAUUAAAUUGACAAGCGUAAGAAAUGUGUUGCCAAAAAAUGUUACCUAAAGAUCAAACCACUUUUGUUUUUCAUAUAGUUGGUAAAUUGCAACUAUAACUUCAAUUUCUGCAUGUAUUAAUAUUCACUUAUCUAGACAGAUUAUUUGUAGAAAGUUCAUUUCUUUUCUUCAAUUUUCCAUAAUGAAAGAAAUGGGUAUCUCGAAUAAUGAUUGGUAAAUAAUUUUAUAAAAACAAUAAAAAAAAAAUCUGUGCAAAACAGUACGCAAAAUUUGCACAAUUUCAGAUAAUAAACUUUCACUAAAAUACCAUUCAUGACAGUUUCUCUUCAAGUAUAUGAGCAAUUCUUUUAUAUAAUCGUACAUGUAGCUCUUUCACUCCCAAUCAUAUAUCAAAUAAUGUUAUUUUUUUAUGAAAUCAAAAUUCAGUUGUGAACUACUUUUUUGCAGUUUUAAAAAUCUAAUGCAUGCAAGGUACAUGUAAUAUUUUCAAAAGCGUAAAUCAAAACUUUAUGAUUGGUUAAAACGAUGAAUUUUAAACCAAUGACGUUGUGUUAUUUUCACAGUGAAACGGUAAACUUCAGUAUUUGUGUAUUCAAUUUUAAAGUCCUGCCACUGUUCAUUUUUAUUUAGUAGAAUUUAUUUAUUUUAUUGUGACAAUCAAAAUGUUUCUGUUUGUAUAUUUU
This 1151-nucleotide long non-coding RNA is filed under the name Mytilus galloprovincialis (Mediterranean mussel). The record is from RNAcentral. Lineage: Eukaryota; Metazoa; Mollusca; Bivalvia; Mytilida; Mytilidae.